GCGAGAGUGGUGGAACGGUAGACACGCUAGAUUUAGGAUCUAGUGCCUUCGGGCGUGCGGGUUCAAAUCCCGCCUCUCGCA
This 81-nucleotide transfer RNA is filed under the name Rubrobacter sp. RNAcentral's name for it is "tRNA-Leu". It matches the Rfam family "tRNA". From Rfam's summary of the family: Transfer RNA (tRNA) molecules are approximately 80 nucleotides in length. Their secondary structure includes four short double-helical elements and three loops (D, anti-codon, and T loops). Lineage: Bacteria; Bacillati; Actinomycetota; Rubrobacteria; Rubrobacterales; Rubrobacteraceae. The record is from RNAcentral. RNAcentral also lists the same sequence under 2 other names.